AACGCAAGAAAAGCUUCACUCCGGAGCGGCACUCGUGGGAGCGACCCAACCGAGUAUACAAGCGUGUCUCUGUCGAGCUCAAUCAGGCUCACCCAGACUAUAGUCAAAACAAAUAGGUCAAACUGGUCUAACCACCAAAAUUUAUGUGCACUCGAUACAAUCUGAUACAAUAUGUAAACAUCUGGAUCCACCAUCCUCCUCGACAGCACCCGACAGUACGAAACAGUCCAAACUCUACUGUAAAACGAGCUCGGCCCCUCAGCAUGAGCGUAAUCUCAACCUACACUAAACCAAGUAUCCACGAUACACUAACAGCGGUGAUACCAAAGGAAAUCAGCUCCUAAAGCUAAAU
Molecule: long non-coding RNA, 352 nt
Filed under: Ananas comosus (pineapple)
Lineage: Eukaryota; Viridiplantae; Streptophyta; Magnoliopsida; Poales; Bromeliaceae
Description: long non-coding RNA (ACOM_LNC012388)
Source: RNAcentral